Molecule: microRNA precursor, 86 nt
Filed under: Chlorocebus sabaeus (green monkey)
Lineage: Eukaryota; Metazoa; Chordata; Mammalia; Primates; Cercopithecidae
Description: miRNA (ENSCSAG00000021836.1)
Source: RNAcentral
ACAUUUUCGUCCAAUUACCACUUCUUUUUGCCACCUGAACACAGUCAGCAGUCAGCAUAAAAAGUGAUAAUCGGAAGAUAAUGUCU